CUCCGUUAUUUGUUACUGUAGGGUAUAUUAUGCGAUCCUACUGAUUUCCACGGGAUUGGCUACCCUGCUGACAAGUAACAUGAGGGGAACUAAAUUCCCGGGCCAAUAGGAAUUUUUUUUGACUAGGUCAGCUGAGGGCACAGGUUUAAAAAUACUUCCAGGCUCAUGGGCGGGUGGGCUCUUGGAGGUGUUGGAGCCGCUUAGUAAAGCCUCUGGAGCGCCGCCGGAUGAAAUCGUCUCCUGCCCACAUUGUUCUCUCUGAGCCCCGCGAGCGAUCCAUCCGCGGAGGGGUCAGGCACGGUUCUGCGGCACGAUGGGGGAAGGGCUGCCCUGCCCAGGCUGCUCCCUCCCGCCUGCUUUGGAAAGCUUGGUGUGUAGUAGGAGAAAACAUUGCACUUUGAGAAAGAAACCCUGGAAUCAAGUCCUGGUCCUGCCACAUAUCAGCUGUGCAUCCUGCAGCAAGUCUCUUCCUCUCUUCAGGUUUCAGUUUCAUCAUCUAUAAAAUGGGGAUAAAGCUCUUUCAGCACUACCUUAAUGCCUUCCUCCAGUGCCUCUUUAUUGUAUGGAGGUGUCCUGGGCAUUUGAAGGUUAUGCCAGCAAACCACAACAACUCUGGCAAGUUCUACCAUGUUGUAAAGGCUUAGAAUAGGAACUAGUGAUGGAUUGUAUCUGUUAUCCAGGGACUAAGCUAACUAAAUUCUAUUCAUCUGUAGAAGUUGGGCCACAAGAGAAUGAAGCUUUUGGAGACAGUAACUCAUAAAGAAGUUUGCUAAAGUGUAGAAAAGCCAUGAUCUAAAUCAGUGAAGGAAAGACCUACACUAAUAAUAAUUAUAACAGUAAUAAUAAUUAGCAUGUAUAUAAUGCUUUAAUGUUUGCAAAGCUCUGUAUAGCUAUUAUCUCAUUUGAUCUUCACAUAAGUUCCAGGAAGUAGGUGUUAUUACUAUCCUCAUUUUGUUGAUAAGAUAAUCAGGACAAACAGGUUUGCAUAGUUGUCCAGGGUUACAUGACUAUUAAGUGUCUGAGGCUGCAUUUGAACUCAGGUUUUGACUCCAUGUCUGGUGCUUUAUCUACUGUGCCAUGUAGCUACCUCAAGGAAUUCUCAGUCCUUGAUGUACUGAAGUAAAUCAUACAUACCCCAUCUACCAAAUGAGAUGGUAAAAGUACUUUGUAACCAGAGAGCAUUUGUCCACUCUACAUAUACUCUACUUAUUAAUGCGAAACGUAGAAUGGCAGAAAGGAAGAGAAACAGAUCCAGCGAACAAACAGAGGAGCAAGUGAACAGCCCAAAAGGAGGGAGAAAGAAGAAAAAUAUUAGUAAACAACAAUAAAAAAGGAAAUUACAAUUGAAAGCUUCUAUUC
RNAcentral lists this long non-coding RNA (1359 nucleotides) under Monodelphis domestica (gray short-tailed opossum). RNAcentral describes it as "lncRNA (ENSMODG00000036184.2)". The record is from RNAcentral. Lineage: Eukaryota; Metazoa; Chordata; Mammalia; Didelphimorphia; Didelphidae.